GAUGAACGCUGGCGGCGUGCUUAACACAUGCAAGUCGAACGGUGAAGCAGGAGCUUGCUCUUGUGGAUCAGUGGCGAACGGGUGAGUAACACGUGAGCAACCUGCCCCUGACUCUGGGAUAAGCGCUGGAAACGGCGUCUAAUACUGGAUAUGUGAUGUGACCGCAUGGUCUGCAUCUGGAAAGAAUUUCGGUUGGGGUUGGGCUCGCGGCCUAUCAGCUUGUUGGUGAGGUAAUGGCUCACCAAGGCGUCGACGGGUAGCCGGCCUGAGAGGGUGACCGGCCACAAUGGGACUGAGACACGGCCCAGACUCCUACGGGAGGCAGCAGUGGGGAAUAUUGCACAAUGGGCGGAAGCCUGAUGCAGCAACGCGGCGUGAGGGAUGACGGCCGUCGGGUUGUAAACCGCUUUUAGCAGGGAAGAAGCGAAAGUGACGGUACCUGCAGAAAAAGCACCGGCUAACUACGUGCCAGCAGCCGCGGUAA
This 484-nucleotide ribosomal RNA is filed under the name uncultured bacterium. RNAcentral's name for it is "partial 16S ribosomal RNA". It matches the Rfam family "Bacterial small subunit ribosomal RNA", at positions 28 to 523 of the family's 1533-position model. The record is from RNAcentral.